Non-coding RNA from Chlorocebus sabaeus (green monkey), 2258 nucleotides. The record is from RefSeq and is a predicted model, not a curated record. Lineage: Eukaryota; Metazoa; Chordata; Mammalia; Primates; Cercopithecidae.
CGCGAGGCCUACCUGACACGCCGAAUCGCGGUUCCGGGGAUUUAUCUCCGUUGCAACCACACAGCGGCCAUUUCCCGACUCAAGAACGCGAGGAAAACCAUAGAGCACUUGCUGCAGGGGAAGUGAACUGCCAUGUCCUGAGAUAACGAGAGUUUGGGGAGAGAGAUGCCAUAAGUCUGUGGAGAGGUCAAUAUGACAAAGAACUGAAGCUUGCCAAGAGCCAUUUGAGUGAGCUUGGAAGUGGAUCUUUCCCCAGGAUACAAGGAGAAGUUGGCAGCCUGCAACCCAGAAGAAGACCCUGACCAGAACUGGACCAUGGUGGCACUGGAUGUCAACUUUCCAGCCUCCAGAACAGUGAGAAAUGUUUCUUUUGUUUGUAAGCCACCCAGCCUAUGGCAAUUCAUUCUAUCAACCUGAACUGACAGUCAGCAUGUUUCCAGAGAUCUUAUACUGAGGGGAAGUGGCUCAGCAAAGUAAAUCCGUACGGUGAUCUCUACUAAGUUCUGUGACAUACAUAAACAGUGCUAAAAGCCGUGUGCUAACAGCAAAAUCAUUCACAGUUUUUUAAUUUCAACAUCAUUGGACUAAAACGAUAAACUGGAAUGUCAGGCUUCAAUUGUUAAAUAGGGUAGGAUUCCUAUGGGAAUAAUUUUUUACGCCUUCCCAGGACCCUGAAUCCACAAAGUAAAGCUGUCCCCCAAUGUUCACAGAAAGUUUUCAGAAAAGAUCUUAGGCCUCUGCUAAUGGGGAAUGACAAGAAAGACUUGAAAAUCCAUGAUGUGGUUCCAUAAAUGCAGUGUCAUGUGAAAAAACUAGUUAUCCUCUGCUCCCUCCAAUGUUUACAGGCUGACUCAUGACUGAUGACUCCUGGGGAAAAAUCAAGACACAGGUAAGCUGAGCUGCCAAUAGCUCAUCAGAUGUCUUUGGGAAGAUGAGACAAACUUACCCUUUCCUCAGGCUGAGGCAUCCCCACGCUUAGGCAUGUGGCUUGAAGAGCAGGUGAGCAGAGUGCAGGCUGGAGCUCGGCCCUCUUUGAGCCUUUGGCUAUACAUUCUGGCACAGCAGUGGCCCUGCCAGAAGCUCCCUGGCAAAGAAACACCUCUCCCCACUGCACCCUUCCUUCCGAGCACCUAUUACUUUGUUAUUCAUCUCUUAGCAACUUGGGAUUCCUGGGACUAUGUCAUUCUUCCUGCUUAGUUGACAGUGUUAUACAAGAUUAUAUUCUUUUUCAUAAUGUUGAGUAUUCAUUCUUCAGUCAACAAAUAUUUAUUGAAGAAUAAAUGAGGUAUUUGAAGAAAUGAAGUAUUAUACACUUAUGAUAGAUAAAUAAUAGAAAAUUAUCUCAUUGAAACCCAGGGUCACAUCAAGUAACUGGUAUAAUCUGUAUUUCAUUGAAACAUCACUCUUUGUCAUUGCAUAUUUCAGGAAUAAGCAAUAUGCUUAAGGGAAUAAGCAAAUGAGUAACCCAGUUCUAUUUAAGGAAAUAUUUGAUUUUCAAGAGGUGGUCUUCGAAAAGUUCUGAUUGCCUCUCAGGAAAGAUAGUAAUGCUGGCAUUCUGCCCAGGAGAGGAAGGGUAUUCCCAUUCAUCCCAGUAAUUCUAACAGAGGAAAUAGUCCUUGGACCUGCAGCAACAGCGUCAUCUGGGGAUUUGUUAGCAAUGCAAGUUCUCAGACUCCACCAUAGAACUACUGAAUCAGACAUUCUGGGAUGAGGCCCAGCAUUCCAUGGUCUAACAAACCCUCCAGAAAGAAUAUGCUGGACCUGCCUUACACUCAACUGUAACCUUUGGGCUUGGAAGUCACCACAGGCGCUCCAUUUUUAGGGCUGUUUGAUCAAUGCAAGGGCUUAGUUAUGUGAACUACUGUUACCCACCAGUAAAUGCCCCAAUUUUUAUCAGAAUAAAGUAGAAUAUCUACCUCUUCUUGUCUAUUUUGCUUUUUCUUUAGUUCAAAACCACAUUUAUCAUUCACUUUCCCAAAAUGAUGAGAAAUUUUGCUUAUCCCAGUUAUAUUUAAAGAAAUAUUUGAUUUUUAAGAUGCCUCUUUGCCUUUUUUCAACAAUGACCCCGCCUUCUCCUUGGCACCUUCAGUUGACAGUUUCUCACUACUUCAUACUAGGUGCUCAUUUGUCGCCCAUCUCCGAGUGACUUUACCAUUUUCCUUAUCCUCAGCCACUGACAGCCAACGUAUUUUUAAAAUGCAGUGGCCUGGCCAGGCGCGUUGGCUCACACCUGUAAUCCCAGCACUUUGGGAGGCCGA